AGGCUUAAAACCCAACAGCUGGUAGUUCAACUUAGGUCUCCAACAUGGGCGGCAGGGGCCCAAGAUCCAUCACCUGCUGCCUCUCAGGGUUUGCAUUAGUUGGCUGCUGGAAUCCAGAAGGAGCUGGGACUCUGCUAGGCCAAAAGGCCAGCUCCACAGCAUUUUAGUUUUCAUCACUGUCAAUCUAAAACAGCAAUAUUUCUCCUCAUCUUUCUUCUGAUUUUGCACAAACCCUCUCUACUGGAAAUCAGAUAUAUGUGCAUCUCCUGAAUUAUCUUUUGGGCCUGGAAAGAAUAAACUCCAUCAACAUAGUCUACUUGAAGCAGAACAGACUUCAUCUUUGCCACGAUUGGCAAAUGGCUGCUCCCCAAGGAUUGCGAAUGAGGACGAGCACCAUGGCACGUGCUCAUGGUGUUGGCCUCAGCAGCUGGACCAGAGUGAAGCCCGGAGCCGAGCCUAGUUGGACCAUCUUCUGCUGCCUUCCCACUCACAUUAUCAGGAAGCUGGGUCAGAAGGAGAGUAGCCAGGACUUGCACCAGCAUGCUGAUGUGGGAUAGACAGAAAGAGAGCAAAUUGAGAGGAGACCCCAUUCACUAUUUCACUAAGCAUAAACCCACAUGGCUGAGGGCGAAGCUGAGAGCCACGUCUCCAACAUGGCUGACGUGAGUCGUCACUGCUAUCUUCCAGGUUCUGCAUUAGCAGAAAUUUGAAGACAGGAACUGAAGGUGGGAAACAAUUCCCGGCACCUGACGUGUGAGGCAAGUAUCUUAACCACUAGGCCAAAUGACUCUUGUGUCUCUAUUUCAUAAACUAAAGAGACUCAACUGUGCAGCCCUGGGAGAGUAGUGUGAGAGUAAAUGGAAACAGUGCAGCCUUCCAAGAGAUUCGCACCUGCCAAAUCUUACGCCCAGAACAUUUGUCCUCCUUAAUACCCCACCCCAUUUUAAGUCAACGUACUAGUAAAGCAAAGACAAGAUUUAUAUAUGUAUAUAAUAUGUAUAUAUAUAUAUGCCUUCUAGAAGUGUUAAAAUGUUUGUUAAAAUAUUUUGAAUGCAGAAAAACAAUCAUGACAUUCGAUAUAAUAUUUGGUGAGCUAUCAUAUUUCUGUUGAGGCUGUUCUUUACUUUAUGUCUUUUGAA
This 1139-nucleotide long non-coding RNA is filed under the name Oryctolagus cuniculus (rabbit). Its description in RNAcentral is "lncRNA (ENSOCUG00000035871.1)". Lineage: Eukaryota; Metazoa; Chordata; Mammalia; Lagomorpha; Leporidae. The record is from RNAcentral.